RNAcentral lists this ribosomal RNA (158 nucleotides) under Curvularia protuberata. RNAcentral's name for it is "5.8S ribosomal RNA". It matches the Rfam family "5.8S ribosomal RNA". From Rfam's summary of the family: 5.8S ribosomal RNA (5.8S rRNA) is a component of the large subunit of the eukaryotic ribosome. The record is from RNAcentral. Lineage: Eukaryota; Fungi; Ascomycota; Dothideomycetes; Pleosporales; Pleosporaceae.
CAACUUUCAACAACGGAUCUCUUGGUUCUGGCAUCGAUGAAGAACGUAGCGAAAUGCGAUACGUAGUGUGAAUUGCAGAAUUCAGUGAAUCAUCGAAUCUUUGAACGCACAUUGCGCCCUUUGGUAUUCCAAAGGGCAUGCCUGUUCGAGCGUCAUUU